CCCCUUUCCGAAGACUCGGCUCCUAUUGGCCCAGGGGCCGGGGUUGAAACGCCCUAAUAGCCGGACCGGGGUGAUCAUGUGACUUGCGGGGGUGGGGCUGCGCCGGCCUCUUCCCAGCCAGCUUGAAAGGGUUUGCGUAACCGGCCUUGCGGGCCCUUAACGCGCUCCGUUAAAGCGCUCUGUGGGCGGCCUGGCCUCAACUCCCUUAGUCUAGGAGCACGAAGGGAUUUACUCCUAGCUCUCGUCCGUCCCGGGUUCGCUUUUCUUUCCUUCCCGAUGCCUGGCUUUUAGAUCCACUACCGCAGAGUCUGCGGCUGCCAGGAAGCCCAGAUUCGAGUGUCCGGAGAGUAACCGGAAGUGCUAUCCCCAGGCCUAGGGGCGGCGCCGGCGGCUGCAGGGAGAGGGAAGAAUUGAGUGUUGUGAAUAGUACUGGACUAGAGACCUUUUGAAACCAAAAGGAAGAUGUUCUUGAGUCUUUCUUGUUAUGGCUUGGAAAUACCAAGUAAGGAAUUAACAUAUAUGAUGCUGGAAACUUGUAGAGGCUCAUGACUGAAAGGCCUGAAACAGAUGUAUCUUCCAAGUUUUUAUCAAGAAAAUGACUGUGAGGGCAAUGAUGGGUCAAGAAGACCAGUGGAAAACUCC
This 642-nucleotide long non-coding RNA is filed under the name Piliocolobus tephrosceles (Ugandan red Colobus). RNAcentral describes it as "lncRNA (ENSPTEG00000037367.1)". Lineage: Eukaryota; Metazoa; Chordata; Mammalia; Primates; Cercopithecidae. The record is from RNAcentral.